This 460-nucleotide ribosomal RNA is filed under the name uncultured bacterium. RNAcentral's name for it is "partial 16S ribosomal RNA". It matches the Rfam family "Bacterial small subunit ribosomal RNA", at positions 338 to 795 of the family's 1533-position model. The record is from RNAcentral.
CCUACGGGUGGCAGCAGUGAGGAAUAUUGGUCAAUGGCCGUAAGGCUGAACCAGCCAAGUAGCGUGAGGGAAGACUGCCCUAUGGGUUGUAAACCUCUUUUAUGCGGGGAUAAAGUGAUCCACGUGUGGAUGUUUGUAGGUACCUCAUGAAUAAGGACCGGCUAAUUCCGUGCCAGCAGCCGCGGUAAUACGGAGGGUCCGGGCGUUAUCCGGAUUUAUUGGGUUUAAAGGGAGCGUAGGCGGGUUUUUAAGCGUGCUGUGAAAUUUUGUGGCUCAACCGUAAAAGUGCGGAGCGAACUGGAGACCUUGAGUGCGCUGAAGGUAGGCGGAAUUCGUGGUGUAGCGGUGAAAUGCUUAGAUAUCACGAAGAACCCCGAUUGCGAAGGCAGCUUGCUGAAGUGUCACUGACGCUGAAGCUCGAAAGCGUGGGUAUCGAACAGGAUUAGAUACCCCAGUAGUC